This is a non-coding RNA of Testicularia cyperi, 106 nucleotides long. Lineage: Eukaryota; Fungi; Basidiomycota; Ustilaginomycetes; Ustilaginales; Anthracoideaceae. The record is from the annotation of a GenBank genome assembly.
UCCCAGUUAGUACAACGGUUAGUAUACGGCACUUUCACCAGAUGCAGGCGUGUUCGUUCGCGCGUGCGGUGCUGCUGAGAUCGGGGUUCGAUUCCCCGGCCGGGAA